RNAcentral lists this long non-coding RNA (2212 nucleotides) under Prunus persica (peach). Its description in RNAcentral is "long non-coding RNA (PPER_LNC003858)". The record is from RNAcentral. Lineage: Eukaryota; Viridiplantae; Streptophyta; Magnoliopsida; Rosales; Rosaceae.
GUGGGAUGAUGGAUAAGGCUAACAAUGCAGCCCAAUCUACCAAGGAGACAAUGCAAGAUGUUGGUCAAAAUGUGCAGGCGAAGGCUCAAGGGGCUGCUGAUGCAGUCAAGAAUGCCACUGGCAUGAACAAAUGAAGCUGCUCAUGAUGAUCAUUUUCAUGACUUUUAAUGACUUUGUAGAGUUAAGAUGAUGGCAAAAUUUCAUUGAGUUUUAUAGACUUUUAUGUAAUUUUUUUUUUCUUUCUUACCCUUCUUUAGAAAGAAAGAAUUUAAAAUUACAUAGAAUUCCAAAAUGAUGGAAUUUAGAUCUCCAUCAUUUUAAGUUACGGCAAUUAAUAAUUUCAGUAUUUGGAUUUAUGUAUAUCGAAUUUUACAAAUAAAAUUUCACGGAAAAACGAAUUCCUUCACUCAAUAGAAAUUGCGAAAUGACGUCUCUUUUUAUUGAAAUUAAACCCAGAAAUCUUGAGUGCUUGACUUUUGUGCUAAAAUAGCCAAACAGUGAAAGUAUUAAAUUCUACUCUUCAAUUCUUUACUUUUAGCUAAAUAAUUAACGUAGGGUAAUAGCAGUAUGUAGUAUGACCAAAAGAAAACGAAUUCUAAUAUUAUCUUUUGAUCAUGAUGAAUUAACUCUUGAGAUCUAUAUAACCAAAAUAAUUAUUCAUGUAGAGAUUGAUGAAUAUCAAUUAUGAAUUCGUUGGGUUUGAGACAAUUUCAUCUCUUAUUUCUAAAGGUCUCAUUCUCGGCCUGGGUGCCUUAGAGCUUUUUGAAAUAUCCACCAGUUGACCAAACACAUUAAAAUGCACUCAAGUCAAGAAACAAGACUCGUAAAUCAGAAAUACAAGAGAACCAAACACGCACAAAAAUACAUAAUGUGAAUGAACUUGGGGUAAUUAUCAAGUAGAAAAUUUUAUAUAAAGCCGGUGUAUGCCUUAUUUUCCUCGUAAUAAGUGUUCACAUAACUAAGCACGUGAAAGAAUGUAGCGUGCAUGAAAGAGUUGGUAUAUGCAUUAUUUUUCUCGUAAUAAGUGGUCACAUAACUAAGCACGUAAAAGAACAUAGCGUGCAUGAUAAUGUAUAAAACUCAUUACACGUAAGAUUUUUUGUGGUUAAAGAUAAAACACUUGUCCAGAAACUUUGGGACAAUAUCGCUUUUAACUCAUGUGGAGGUUAACCCAACAAGUUUAUUAGCAUUUACUCAUUAAUUAGAUGUUCUGGCCUUUCAAUCAAAUAAUAAUAUCUUGUGGCUUAUGGAACAAUCUUGUGAAUUGUAAUUAAUUGAUAAUAUAAUCCAAUAUUACAAUAAUUCCAUAAUGCUGAAAAAAGUAAUUUCCAUUCAAAAAACUGUCUAAGAAACCCUCAGAAUAGCAACUUGGAAGACUCAACAGCCUUCCUGGUCAGAAGGCUCACCCUAAGUUAUAGGGCGACACGUUUUAUGGUCCAAAACCAUGACCUGGAUGAAAUGUGUGCCUGGCAUCACACAUGUCGAGCAUUCAGCUGGUCUAAAAUCGUAUAUAAACCAUACCCAAUUGUGAGAUAUUCAUCAUUAGCAAACCAAAUUUGAGGUAUAAAAACAUCAUCUGAAUUUCAAGUGUUUUCAAGAAAACAAAGCAAGAAGAAAAUGGCUGACAACUCUCAGAAGAUGAGCUACCACGCUGGUGAGGCCAAGGGCCAAGCUCAGGUAAUUAGCUCAUGUGUAAUUCUCCAUUUGUUUUUACUUAUUUCUUCUACUUUCUUUUAAAUAUUACAUUAUUAUAUGUGAAUGUGCAUUGAGAUUGAUGUGGGGUGUUUUGUAUUGGAUACUUUUGGAUUUAACAGGAGAAGGCUAGUGGGAUGAUGGAUAAAGCUAACAAUGCAGCCCAAUCUACCAAGGAGACAAUGCAAGAUGUUGGUCAGAAUGUGCAUGCGAAGGCUCAAGGAGCUGCUGAUGCAGUCAAGAAUGCAACUGGCAUGAACAAAUGAAGCUGCUCAUGAUGAUCAUUUUCAUGACUUUUAAUGACUUUAUAGAGUUAAGAUGAUGACAAACUUUGUUUGAGUUUUAUAGACUUUUAUGUAAUUUUUUUUUCUUUCUUACUCUUCUUUUGAACGAAGGAACUGAAAAUUGCAUAGAAUUCUAAAAUGAUUGAAUUUAGAUCCCCAUCGUUUUCAUUUAUGGUAAUUAAUAAUUUUAGUAUUCGGAUUUAUGUAUGUUAAAUUUUGUAAAUGACAUAAAUUUU